AGAGAGUGUGUGUCAAUACCCCGAGCAAGUGCUCCAUUCAGCUUUCCAAGGGCAAAUGCCUCUUAUUUGCUGAGUCUCUCCUGGAAAACCAUUUCUAGGAAGCAUGAGCCAAUGUCCCCACAGCACUGGGGGCUGCCCAGGGGAUGGUACGUUGAGAACAGCCCAGGGCACAGUCCUGGGAGAUUGGGCUUAAUGGGGUGCUUGGCUGUCAGCUCUAUGAUGUCACUAAACACCCUCUAUUGCCCAGAAACUGGCCAAGGAGUCCUCUCUGUGGUGUGAAUGCCAAGCUGAGUGCCCCGUGUGGCAUCGUGGAGACAGCUCGUGCUCUCUCCAGCUCUGGACUCUGCGCUUUCGACUCCAUCUUCACGUUACACUGGGUGGUCGCUGCCACUCAGGGAGACACAGAAGCUCACCCGGGUCGGGAUGAGAGGAGGCCAAGAUGGAAACUGCCUUCAGCACAGCCCGACAGAACACAGCGUGACAAAUCUCAUCUCAAGUCACAGCCAGCUCUUCCUGGAGACCCUGUUUUAGGGCCUUGCAAAGUGCAGGACCGUCCAUUACAGCUG
RNAcentral lists this long non-coding RNA (566 nucleotides) under Capra hircus (goat). RNAcentral describes it as "lncRNA (ENSCHIG00000006274.1)". Lineage: Eukaryota; Metazoa; Chordata; Mammalia; Artiodactyla; Bovidae. The record is from RNAcentral.